This 382-nucleotide ribosomal RNA is filed under the name uncultured eukaryote. Its description in RNAcentral is "partial 18S ribosomal RNA". It matches the Rfam family "Eukaryotic small subunit ribosomal RNA", at positions 592 to 976 of the family's 1831-position model. The record is from RNAcentral.
UGUAAGCGUAAACCAAAGUUGUUGCAGUUAAAACGCUCGUAGUCGGAAUUUGGCAGUUCCGGAUGUGUGCACGUCGUGUGCGCACUUCGCGGGGAUUGCUUUUGUGGUCUUGCGUAGGAUGAGGCACUUUUAUUAGUGAACGUCCUCACGCAACCACUUUUUACUGUGAGAAAAUCAGAGUGCUCAAAGCAGGCAUUUGCCGUGAAUGUAUUAGCAUGGAAUAAUAGAAUAGGACUUGGUUCUAUUUUGUUGGUUUGUUGGGACUGAGUAAUGAUUAAGAGGGACAGUUGGGGGCAUUUGUAUUUCGGUGCUAGAGGUGAAAUUCUUAGAUUACCGAAAGACAAACUGCUGCGAAAGCGUCUGCCAAGGAUGUUUUCAUUGA